CGCGGGAUAGAGCAGUAGGUAGCUCGUCGGGCUCAUAACCCGAAGGUCGUCGCUUCAAAUCCGGCCCCCGCUACCA
This 76-nucleotide transfer RNA is filed under the name Flavobacteriaceae bacterium. RNAcentral describes it as "tRNA-Met". It matches the Rfam family "tRNA". Rfam says of the family: Transfer RNA (tRNA) molecules are approximately 80 nucleotides in length. Their secondary structure includes four short double-helical elements and three loops (D, anti-codon, and T loops). Further hydrogen bonds mediate the characteristic L-shaped molecular structure. tRNAs have two regions of fundamental functional importance: the anti-codon, which is responsible for specific mRNA codon recognition, and the 3' end, to which the tRNAs corresponding amino acid is attached (by aminoacyl-tRNA synthetases). tRNAs cope with the degeneracy of the genetic code in two manners: having more than one tRNA (with a specific anti-codon) for a particular amino acid; and 'wobble' base-pairing, i.e. permitting non-standard base-pairing at the 3rd anti-codon position. RNAcentral also lists the same sequence under 1 other name. Lineage: Bacteria; Pseudomonadati; Bacteroidota; Flavobacteriia; Flavobacteriales; Flavobacteriaceae. The record is from RNAcentral.